AGGGGGAGCAAUCCCUGAGUAAAGUGGCGACCGGGUGAGUAACACGUGACUAACCUACCCUUGAGUGGGGGAUAACCUCGGGAAACCGGGGCUAAUACCGCAUAACAUCCUUGAAGUGGAAACUUUGGGGAUCAAAGGAGCAAUUCGCUUAAGGAGGGGGUCGCGGCUGAUUAGCUAGUUGGCGGGGUAACGGCCCACCAAGGCUUUGAUCGGUAGCCGGCCUGAGAGGGCGCACGGCCACACUGGAACUGAAACACGGUCCAGACUCCUACGGGAGGCAGCAGUGGGGAAUUUUGCGCAAUGGGGGAAACCCUGACGCAGCAACGCCGCGUGGAGGAUGAAGUCCCUUGGGACGUAAACUCCUUUCGACCGGGACGAUAAUGACGGUACCGGUGGAAGAAGCCCCGGCUAACUUCGUGCCAGCAGCCGCGGUAAUACGAGGGGGGCAAGCGUUGUUCGGAAUUAUUGGGCGUAAAGGGCGCGUAGGCGGUGCGGUAAGUCACCUGUGAAAUCUCCCGGCUCAACUGGGAGGGUGCGCCGAAUACUGAGAGGCUAGAGUGUGGGAGAGGAAAGUGGAAUUCCUGGUGUAGCGGUGAAAUGCGUAGAUAUCAGGAGGAACACCGGUGGUGUAAACGGCUUUCUGGACCCAUACUGACGCUGAGGCACGAAAGCGUGGGUAGCAAACAGGAUUAGAUACCCUGGUAGUC
This 707-nucleotide ribosomal RNA is filed under the name uncultured bacterium. RNAcentral's name for it is "bacterial SSU rRNA". It matches the Rfam family "Bacterial small subunit ribosomal RNA", at positions 72 to 795 of the family's 1533-position model. The record is from RNAcentral.